UUGUCCGGAGUUACUGGGCGUAAAGGGCACGCAGGCGGUGCGGCGCGUUUCGCGUGACAGCGGAGGGCUUAACUCUCCGAGGAUGCGAAAGACGGCGGCACUUGAGGGCCAGAGAGGGACACGGAAUUCCGGGUGGAGUGGUGAAAUGCGUAGAGAUCCGGAGGAACACCGAAGGCGAAGGCAGUGUCCUGGCUGGUGACUGACGCUGAGGUGCGAAAGCUAGGGGAGCAAACAGG
Molecule: ribosomal RNA, 236 nt
Filed under: uncultured bacterium
Lineage: Bacteria
Description: partial 16S ribosomal RNA
Rfam family: Bacterial small subunit ribosomal RNA
Source: RNAcentral